This 187-nucleotide ribosomal RNA is filed under the name uncultured rumen bacterium. RNAcentral describes it as "partial 16S ribosomal RNA". It matches the Rfam family "Bacterial small subunit ribosomal RNA", at positions 340 to 524 of the family's 1533-position model. The record is from RNAcentral.
UACGGGAGGCAGCAGUGAGGAAUAUUGGUCAAUGGACGGAAGUCUGAACCAGCCAUGUCGCGUGAAGGAUGAAGGUACUAUGUAUUGUAAACUUCUUUUGCCUGGGGGUAAAGUGGGUCACGUGUGGCCUAUUGCAAGUACCAGGCGAAUAAGCAUCGGCUAACUCCGUGCCAGCAGCCGCGGUAAU